UACGUAGGGUGCGAGCGUUAAUCGGAAUUACUGGGCGUAAAGCGUGCGCAGGCGGUUCGCCAAGUCAGGUGUGAAAUCCCCGGGCUUAACCUGGGAACUGCGUUUGUGACUGCAAGACUAGAGUACGGCAGAGGGGGGUAGAAUUCCACGUGUAGCAGUGAAAUGCGUAGAUAUGUGGAGGAAUACCGAUGGCGAAGGCAGCCCCCUGGGUCGAUACUGACGCUCAUGCACGAAAGCGUGGGGAGCAAACAGG
RNAcentral lists this ribosomal RNA (253 nucleotides) under uncultured bacterium. RNAcentral describes it as "partial 16S ribosomal RNA". It matches the Rfam family "Bacterial small subunit ribosomal RNA", at positions 524 to 776 of the family's 1533-position model. The record is from RNAcentral.